Molecule: ribosomal RNA, 598 nt
Filed under: Isometopus sp.
Lineage: Eukaryota; Metazoa; Arthropoda; Insecta; Hemiptera; Miridae
Description: partial 12S ribosomal RNA
Source: RNAcentral
UUGUGCCAGCAGUUGCGGUUAUACAAUUGCAUUAAUUAAGUUUUUUCUUGAAGUAUUAAACUUUAAUUUUUAAUAUAUUUAUAUUUUAUUAGGUGAAAUAAUUAAUAUAUAUAUAUAUUAAUUAUUGUUAUUAUAUGAAUAUUAAUUUUUAAACUAGGAUUAGAUACCCUAUUAUUUUAGUUGUAGUUUCCUUCUUAAGGUGUAUUAGAUAUGGUCUUGAAAUUUAAAGAUUUUGGCGGUAAUUUAUUUUUUCAGAGGAAUCUGUCCUGUGAUCGAUAAUCCACGAUAUAUUUUACUUUCUUUUUUCUUAUAUAUCUCUAUCAUUGAAUAUUCUUGGAAGGUUGAGAUUUUCUUUAAUAUAUAUAUAUUAAAAUGUUAGGUCAAGGUGUAGAAAUAUUUAAGUAGAGAUGGAUUACAUUAUUAAUAUUUAAGGAUUAUUUAUUGAAAUAUUUUUCUUGAAUAUGGAUUUGAUUGUAAAUCUUAUUAUUAUGUAUUUUUGAUAUUAUAUAUGAAUUAUGCACAUAUCGCCCGUCGCUCUCAUUUGUUUUGAGAUAAGUCGUAACAAAGUAGACUCAUUGGAAAAUGAGUCUAGAUUUUU